Molecule: ribosomal RNA, 460 nt
Filed under: uncultured bacterium
Lineage: Bacteria
Description: partial 16S ribosomal RNA
Rfam family: Bacterial small subunit ribosomal RNA
Source: RNAcentral
CCUACGGGAGGCAGCAGUGAGGAAUAUUGGUCAAUGGACGAGAGUCUGAACCAGCCAAGUAGCGUGAAGGAUGACUGCCCUAUGGGUUGUAAACUUCUUUUAUAUGGGAAUAAAAUGUUCCACGUGUGGGAUUUUGUAUGUACCAUAUGAAUAAGGAUCGGCUAACUCCGUGCCAGCAGCCGCGGUAAUACGGAGGAUCCGAGCGUUAUCCGGAUUUAUUGGGUUUAAAGGGAGCGUAGGUGGAUUGUUAAGUCCGUUGUGAAAGUUUGCGGCUCAACCGUAAAAUUGCAGUUGAAACUGGCAGUCUUGAGUACAGUAGAGGUGGGCGGAAUGCGUGGUGUAGCGGUGAAAUGCUUAGAUAUCACGAAGAACUCCGAUUGCGAAGGCAGUUCACUGGACUGCAACUGACACUGAGGCUCGAAAGUGUGGGUAUCAAACAGGAUUAGAUACCCUUGUAGUC